GUUAUAUGGUCAAGUGAAGAAGCGCAUACGGUGGAUGCCUUGGCAGUCAGAGGCGAUGAAAGACGUGGUAGCCUGCGAAAAGCUUCGGGGAGUCGGCAAACAGACUUUGAUCCGGAGAUCUCUGAAUGGGGGAACCCACCUAGGAUAACCUAGGUAUCUUGUACUGAAUCCAUAGGUGCAAGAGGCGAACCAGGGGAACUGAAACAUCUAAGUACCCUGAGGAAAAGAAAUCAACCGAGAUUCCCUUAGUAGUGGCGAGCGAACGGGGAUUAGCCCUUAAGCUUCAUUGAUUUUAGCGGAACGCUCUGGAAAGUGCGGCCAUAGUGGGUGAUAGCCCCGUACGCGAAAGGAUCUUUGAAGUGAAAUCGAGUAGGACGGAGCACGAGAAACUUUGUCUGAACAUGGGGGGACCAUCCUCCAAGGCUAAAUACUACUGACUGACCGAUAGUGAACCAGUACCGUGAGGGAAAGGCGAAAAGAACCCCGGAGAGGGGAGUGAAAUAGAACCUGAAACCGUAUGCGUACAAGCAGUGGGAGCCUACUUGUUAGGUGACUGCGUACCUUUUGUAUAAUGGGUCAGCGACUUAUAUUCAGUGGCAAGCUUAACCGUAUAGGGUAGGCGUAGCGAAAGCGAGUCUUAAUAGGGCGUUUAGUCGCUGGGUAUAGACCCGAAACCGGGCGAUCUAUCCAUGAGCAGGUUGAAGGUUAGGUAACACUGACUGGAGGACCGAACCCACUCCCGUUGAAAAGGUAGGGGAUGACUUGUGGAUCGGAGUGAAAGGCUAAUCAAGCUCGGAGAUAGCUGGUUCUCCUCGAAAGCUAUUUAGGUAGCGCCUCAUGUAUCACUCUGGGGGGUAGAGCACUGUUUCGGCUAGGGGGUCAUCCCGACUUACCAAACCGAUGCAAACUCCGAAUACCCAGAAGUGCCGAGCAUGGGAGACACACGGCGGGUGCUAACGUCCGUCGUGAAAAGGGAAACAACCCAGACCGCCAGCUAAGGUCCCAAAGUUGUGGUUAAGUGGUAAACGAUGUGGGAAGGCUUAGACAGCUAGGAGGUUGGCUUAGAAGCAGCCAUCCUUUAAAGAAAGCGUAAUAGCUCACUAGUCGAGUCGGCCUGCGCGGAAGAUGUAACGGGGCUCAAACCACACACCGAAGCUGCGGGUGUCACGUAAGUGACGCGGUAGAGGAGCGUUCUGUAAGCCUGUGAAGGUGAGUUGAGAAGCUUGCUGGAGGUAUCAGAAGUGCGAAUGCUGACAUGAGUAACGACAAUGGGUGUGAAAAACACCCACGCCGAAAGACCAAGGGUUCCUGCGCAACGUUAAUCGACGCAGGGUUAGUCGGUUCCUAAGGCGAGGCUGAAAAGCGUAGUCGAUGGGAAACAGGUUAAUAUUCCUGUACUUCUGGUUACUGCGAUGGAGGGACGGAGAAGGCUAUGCCAGCUUGGCGUUGGUUGUCCAAGUUUAAGGUGGUAGGCUGAAAUCUUAGGUAAAUCCGGGGUUUCAAGGCCGAGAGCUGAUGACGAGUCGUCUUUUAGAUGACGAAGUGGUUGAUGCCAUGCUUCCAAGAAAAGCUUCUAAGCUUCAGGUAACCAGGAACCGUACCCCAAACCGACACAGGUGGUCGGGUAGAGAAUACCAAGGCGCUUGAGAGAACUCGGGUGAAGGAACUAGGCAAAAUGGCACCGUAACUUCGGGAGAAGGUGCGCCGGCUAGGGUGAAGGAUUUACUCCGUAAGCUCUGGCUGGUCGAAGAUACCAGGCCGCUGCGACUGUUUAUUAAAAACACAGCACUCUGCAAACACGAAAGUGGACGUAUAGGGUGUGACGCCUGCCCGGUGCCGGAAGGUUAAUUGAUGGGGUUAGCGCAAGCGAAGCUCUUGAUCGAAGCCCCGGUAAACGGCGGCCGUAACUAUAACGGUCCUAAGGUAGCGAAAUUCCUUGUCGGGUAAGUUCCGACCUGCACGAAUGGCGUAACGAUGGCGGCGCUGUCUCCACCCGAGACUCAGUGAAAUUGAAAUCGCUGUGAAGAUGCAGUGUAUCCGCGGCUAGACGGAAAGACCCCGUGAACCUUUACUGUAGCUUUGCACUGGACUUUGAGCCUGCUUGUGUAGGAUAGGUGGGAGGCUUUGAAGCGUGGACGCCAGUUCGCGUGGAGCCAUCCUUGAAAUACCACCCUGGCAUGCUUGAGGUUCUAACUCUGGUCCGUAAUCCGGAUCGAGGACAGUGUAUGGUGGGCAGUUUGACUGGGGCGGUCUCCUCCUAAAGAGUAACGGAGGAGUACGAAGGUGCGCUCAGACCGGUCGGAAAUCGGUCGCAGAGUAUAAAGGCAAAAGCGCGCUUGACUGCGAGACAGACACGUCGAGCAGGUACGAAAGUAGGUCUUAGUGAUCCGGUGGUUCUGUAUGGAAGGGCCAUCGCUCAACGGAUAAAAGGUACUCCGGGGAUAACAGGCUGAUACCGCCCAAGAGUUCAUAUCGACGGCGGUGUUUGGCACCUCGAUGUCGGCUCAUCACAUCCUGGGGCUGAAGCCGGUCCCAAGGGUAUGGCUGUUCGCCAUUUAAAGUGGUACGCGAGCUGGGUUUAGAACGUCGUGAGACAGUUCGGUCCCUAUCUGCCGUGGACGUUUGAGAUUUGAGAGGGGCUGCUCCUAGUACGAGAGGACCGGAGUGGACGAACCUCUGGUGUUCCGGUUGUCACGCCAGUGGCAUUGCCGGGUAGCUAUGUUCGGAAAAGAUAACCGCUGAAAGCAUCUAAGCGGGAAACUUGCCUCAAGAUGAGAUCUCACUGGGAACUUGAUUCCCCUGAAGGGCCGUCGAAGACUACGACGUUGAUAGGCUGGGUGUGUAAGCGUUGUGAGGCGUUGAGCUAACCAGUACUAAUUGCCCGUGAGGCUUGACCAUAUAACACCCAAACA
RNAcentral lists this ribosomal RNA (2912 nucleotides) under Pseudomonas aeruginosa. RNAcentral's name for it is "23S ribosomal RNA". It matches the Rfam family "Bacterial large subunit ribosomal RNA". The record is from RNAcentral. Lineage: Bacteria; Pseudomonadati; Pseudomonadota; Gammaproteobacteria; Pseudomonadales; Pseudomonadaceae.